RNAcentral lists this ribosomal RNA (484 nucleotides) under uncultured bacterium. Its description in RNAcentral is "partial 16S ribosomal RNA". It matches the Rfam family "Bacterial small subunit ribosomal RNA", at positions 28 to 523 of the family's 1533-position model. The record is from RNAcentral.
GACGAACGCUGGCGGCGUGCUUAACACAUGCAAGUCGAACGGAAAGGCCCUGCUUUUGUGGGGUGCUCGAGUGGCGAACGGGUGAGUAACACGUGAGUAACCUGCCCUUGACUUUGGGAUAACUUCAGGAAACUGGGGCUAAUACCGGAUAGGAGCUCCUGCUGCAUGGUGGGGGUUGGACAGUUUCGGCGGUUGGGGAUGGACUCGCGGCGUAUCAGCUUGUUGGUGGGGUAGUGGCUUACCAAGGCUUUGACGGGUAGCCGGCCUGAGAGGGUGACCGGCCACAGUGUGACUGAGAUACGGCCCAGACUCCUACGGGAGGCAGCAGUGGGGAAUAUUGCACAAUGGGCGGAAGCCUGAUGCAGCAACGCCGCGUGCGGGAUGACGGCCUUCGGGUUGUAAACCGCUUUCGCCUGUGACGAAGCGUGAGUGACGGUAAUGGGUAAAGAAGCACCGGCUAACUACGUGCCAGCAGCCGCAGUAA